This 253-nucleotide ribosomal RNA is filed under the name uncultured bacterium. RNAcentral's name for it is "partial 16S ribosomal RNA". It matches the Rfam family "Bacterial small subunit ribosomal RNA", at positions 524 to 776 of the family's 1533-position model. The record is from RNAcentral.
UACGGGGGGGGCAAGCGUUGUUCGGAAUUACUGGGCGUAAAGGGCUCGUAGGUGGCCAACUAAGUCAGACGUGAAAUCCCUCAGCUUAACUGGGGAACUGCGUCUGAUACUGGAUGGCUUGGAUUUGGGAGAGGGAUGCGGAAUUCCAGGUGUAGCGGUGAAAUGCGUAGAUAUCUGGAGGAACACCGGUGGCGAAGGCGGCAUCCUGGACCAACAUUGACGCUGAGGAGCGAAAGCCAGGGGAGCAAACGGG